RNAcentral lists this ribosomal RNA (460 nucleotides) under uncultured bacterium. Its description in RNAcentral is "partial 16S ribosomal RNA". It matches the Rfam family "Bacterial small subunit ribosomal RNA", at positions 338 to 795 of the family's 1533-position model. The record is from RNAcentral.
CCUACGGGAGGCAGCAGUGAGGAAUAUUGGUCAAUGGCCGGGAGGCUGAACCAGCCAAGUCGCGUGAGGGAAGACGGCCCUACGGGUUGUAAACCUCUUUUGUCAGGGAGCAAGGUGCAGGUCGGGACCUGCUGUGAGAGUACCUGAAGAACAAGCAUCGGCUAACUCCGUGCCAGCAGCCGCGGUAAUACGGAGGAUGCGAGCGUUAAUCGGAAUUACUGGGCGUAAGGCGCACGUAGGCUGUAUGUCAAGUCAAGGGGGAAAUCCCACGGCUCAACCGUGGAACUGCCUUUGAAACUGGCAAACUGGAGUAUGUGAGAGGGCGGCGGAAUUCCUGGUGUAGGAGUGAAAUCCGUAGAUAUCAGGAGGAACAUCAGUGGCGAAGGCGGCCGCCUGGCACAAAACUGACGCUGAGGUGCGAAAGCGUGGGUAGCAAACAGGAUUAGAUACCCUAGUAGUC